AGUGAACGCUGGCGGUAGGCCUAACACAUGCAAGUCGAACGGCAGCACAGUAAGAGCUUGCUCUUACGGGUGGCGAGUGGCGGACGGGUGAGGAAUACAUCGGAAUCUACUUUUUCGUGGGGGAUAACGUAGGGAAACUUACGCUAAUACCGCAUACGACCUACGGGUGAAAGCAGGGGAUCUUCGGACCUUGCGCGAUUGAAUGAGCCGAUGUCGGAUUAGCUAGUUGGCGGGGUAAGGGCCCACCAAGGCGACGAUCCGUAGCUGGUCUGAGAGGAUGAUCUGCCACACUGGAACUGAGACACGGUCCAGACUCCUACGGGAGGCAGCAGUGGGGAAUAUUGGACAAUGGGCGCAAGCCUGAUCCAGCCAUACCGCGUGGGUGAAGAAGGCCUUCGGGUUGUAAAGCCCUUUUGUUGGGAAAGAAAAGCAGCAGGUUAAUACCCCGCUGUUCUGACGGUACCCAAAGAAUAAGCACCGGCUAACUUCGUG
RNAcentral lists this ribosomal RNA (492 nucleotides) under uncultured bacterium. Its description in RNAcentral is "partial 16S ribosomal RNA". It matches the Rfam family "Bacterial small subunit ribosomal RNA", at positions 29 to 507 of the family's 1533-position model. The record is from RNAcentral.